Molecule: ribosomal RNA, 497 nt
Filed under: uncultured bacterium
Lineage: Bacteria
Description: partial 16S ribosomal RNA
Rfam family: Bacterial small subunit ribosomal RNA
Source: RNAcentral
GAUGAACGCUGGCGGCGUGCCUAAUACAUGCAAGUCGAGCGAACGGACGAGAAGCUUGCUUUUCUGAUGUUAGCGGCGGACGGGUGAGUAACACGUGGAUAACCUACUUAUAAGACUGGGAUAACUUCGGGAAACCGGAGCUAAUACCGGAUAAUAUUUUGAACCGCAUGGUUCAAAAGUGAAAGACGGUCUUGCUGUCACUUAUAGAUGGAUCCGCGCUGCAUUAGCUAGUUGGUAAGGUAACGGCCUACCAAGGCAACGAUGCAUAGCCGACCUGAGAGGGUGAUCAGCCACACUGGAACUGAGACACGGUCCAGACUCCUACGGGAGGCAGCAGUAGGGAAUCUUGCGCAAUGGGCGAAAGCCUGACGGAGCAACGCCGCGUGAGUGAUGAAGGUCUUCGGGUCGUAAAACUCUGUUAUUAGGGAAGAACAUAUGUGUAAGUAACUGUGCACAUCUUGACGAUACCUAAUCAGAAAGCCACGGCUAACUACGUG